Molecule: long non-coding RNA, 1212 nt
Filed under: Varroa destructor (honeybee mite)
Lineage: Eukaryota; Metazoa; Arthropoda; Arachnida; Mesostigmata; Varroidae
Description: uncharacterized LOC111255622, transcript variant X2
Source: RNAcentral
UGUUGAGCUUGUACGUUGUCGCAGUUGCUAAGUGUCAAAGUCAGAUGUCCAAAUACUUUGCCAAAUACUUAGAGUACCAAAUGCAUUAUGUAUAAUCUAAAAACACAUAUAUCUACAGAAAAGAGAAAAAGUCUUUUUAAAGUCUAUGUUUUUGGGGACUGUCGUUCGGGUCGGAAUGCAGCGCGGGAGAAGAAAUAUUAUUCAAUCCACGGCUUCACUGCUGGUUAGCCUGUGAGAAGUCCGCUUCUCGACACCUAAAGACAUCCGUAUUUUCCUGGCUAAUUAUUUCCGCACUCUCCAAAAUGUCUAGGCUCUCUUACCACUUCAUUACAAAUCACUAAGUAUCGACAUUGUGCCUGUAUGAAAAAGGUAUUAGACGAAGCUGCGCACAAAUGGUAAUAUUGUUUAUUACAUCGAGAUUUCAGAGAGUCAAUAGCGUAUCUUCAAGAUAAUUGCUAUAGGUAGAUGUCCUCGAAAGACGAAAGCCACAAUUGGUGUUGAUCUUCGCGAAAGGAUUGUCGAGGUGGAUGACGAGUGUAUCACGAUUGAUGAGAACAAGCAUAUGGCAACUAAAUAAAUGUCUGCUCCCCCAGCUGCAGUUAUGGGGACACGGCUGGACAAGAACGAUUCCGAAGAAGUAUGUUCAACGUUACUACCGGUGGCAGUGAGCACAAACGCGGUCUAGCGCUUUGCCGAUCAACACAGCAUGCCACUAUUUGAAGCCUCUGCAAAGGAUGACCCUCAGAGCGAUCAUCUGGAAAGUUUCAUGACCCUUGUACACAAGCUUAAGAACUCAAAACCCAUGAUGUCCAUUCAGAAUUCAGGCACAGAGGUUCCCGGUGAAGUUCAACCUAAAUCGACGAAAGAUGGAGCACAAAUGGUUACUUUCCAGCUGCUACGCUUCUUUCCCGCAGUCAAGCAGGACAAUCCGAUAUAAUAACAUAUCCGAUAUCCGGAUCUUCGCGUGUGAAAUUUACUAGUCUUCCCUGCAGUAGUUAAAAUUUCUACAUAUAUCAUUGACACCCGAUCAUGAUUCUCUGUUCCGAAAAAGCAACGUAGUAUAGCACUGAAAACAGUGUGUGGCAACGAUAGGACCAAUGAACAUUGUAUACUAACUUCGUCAAUGUAAUGCAAAUUGCCUUUACGGCCCUGGUUUCUUUACAAUUACAAUAAAACUAUUUUUAUAGUUUUCAUCUGCACCGUUCAAACGAA